RNAcentral lists this unclassified non-coding RNA (477 nucleotides) under Hevea brasiliensis (rubber tree). Lineage: Eukaryota; Viridiplantae; Streptophyta; Magnoliopsida; Malpighiales; Euphorbiaceae. The record is from RNAcentral.
AUUGGAUCCUAUUAUUUAGGCAAGGCAAAAUUCUAGUUAUUUGGGAUUUGGGAGUUUGAAUAGGAAUUGAAUAAAAAGAAGUUUUCAGAAUCAAGAAUCAUAAGAUUCUAAGAUUCUGACAGGGAGUUUCACUAUAAUGGAUAACAGUAUAUUAAGUUUCUCUAUCUUUACGUCUAUGGGGGUGAUAGAUUCCACCUGAUUUGUUGUUCUGUGUGAUAAAUCUUGCAUUUUUUAUAAUAUAUUUGUCAGGUUCACUUUCUUCAUUCUUGUCAUUAUAAUAUAUGGAGUUGAUGCAGCCAUUCGGAUGUGAAAAUGGCUUAAUGUUUUGGUUAUUAAUCAUAGCAAGGAAAUAGUUUAGAUUAAAACAUGUAUGUGGUCCUGAUUGUGAAAUAGUGGCACAAGUUGGAUAUAUAUUCUUUCAUUAUGAUAUAUUCUUUCAUUGUGAAAUAAUAAUUAUAAUAAUAAUUUGCAUUAUAG